GUCCCCGUAGCUCAGUAGGAUAGAGCGAUCGCCUCCUAAGCGAUAGGUCGGCAGUUCGAUUCUGCCCGAGGACGCCA
RNAcentral lists this transfer RNA (77 nucleotides) under Candidatus Coprosoma intestinipullorum. RNAcentral describes it as "tRNA-Arg". It matches the Rfam family "tRNA". Rfam says of the family: Transfer RNA (tRNA) molecules are approximately 80 nucleotides in length. The record is from RNAcentral. Lineage: Bacteria; Bacillati; Bacillota.